GCCUGCUCACUGAUAAUUUAAAGAGCCGCGGUAUUUUGACCGUGCAAAGGUAGCAUAAUCAUUAGUCUCUUAAUUAGGGGCUGGAAUGAAUGGCUUGACGAGAAAUUAACUGUCUCAUGAUAAAUUUUAGAAUUUAACUUUUGAGUUAAAAGGCUUAAAUUUUCCUUUAGGACGAGAAGACCCUAUAGAGCUUGACAUUUAAUUUAAAUAAAUUUUUUAGUUGAUUUUUAUUUAUUUAAUGAUGGUGUUUUGUUGGGGUGACAUGAAGAAUGAAUAAAMUCUUCAUUAUUAAAUCAUUGAUUUAUGUGUUAUUUGAUCCAUAAUUUWUGAUCAUAAGAUUAAGUUACCUUAGGGAUAACAGCGU
This 364-nucleotide ribosomal RNA is filed under the name Rhammatocerus schistocercoides. Its description in RNAcentral is "partial 16S ribosomal RNA". It matches the Rfam family "Archaeal large subunit ribosomal RNA", at positions 1952 to 2554 of the family's 2987-position model. Lineage: Eukaryota; Metazoa; Arthropoda; Insecta; Orthoptera; Acrididae. The record is from RNAcentral.